AGAAUACAAGCCCGGGAGGAAGAGGGCAGGCAUAGGCCAGCCCCCUUGACUCUUCCCAGUUUCCCUUCCUCACUUACACCCCUGGGCUCCAUUAAGCAGUCCAGCUGUGGGCCACGUUUACCAGGUGCCCAGAGGUCACCCCUAGAAGGCUACACAGGGGUUGCACCCAGGGCCUUGCUUGGCACUUUCAGAGUUUAUAGCCUCUGGACCAGAAAAGGACUGACCCAUUUCAUUGGUUGAGGUCAGUAGGAAAUUAAAGUAAUUAGUGGGAACAGGACUGGGCUGGGUGUCAGAAGACCUGGGUUGACUUCCAGCUAGGCCAUUGCUUAGCCACGUGACCUUGAGCAAGGAACUUAAUCCCGGCAGACCCAAGUUUUUUUUCAGUUGAGAAAUGAGGUUUUGAUAAAAGUGAUCUGGGGAAUAAACCUGAGCCAAGUGAUCGAUUUUGUGUGCACGUGGGUGGCUGUGCCUCUGCAGCUAUGUGUAUACGUGUAAAGUAUGAAAGGAUCAAUCCAAGGAGAAAUGGAUUUGAGCAACCACAGCACAAACAUUCAGAAGUGGAAGUGAGCAGCCGGGAUGGUGAGAAGGUGAGUCAAAGCGGAGAAAGUGCUUUCCCGUUGGUCCUGUAAAACAAAUUGACCUAAAACGUAGCAGUGUAAACCAAAAACCAGUUCAUUUAAAACGAUCAUUUUUAAUGAUUUUGUGGGUUUUGAGGUCAGGAAGAGGGGCAUGGCUGCUUUGUUGUCACAUAGCUUUUCACACGAGGUUGCAGUCAGAUAAUGAGAGGGACUGCAACCAUCUGAAGGCUCCGCCUGGCUGCGUGUUGACACACCUGGGGACACCCACGCUGGCCUGUUCUCAGUGGAGGCUGGCUGCUGCUGGAGGCUCAGCAAGGCUGUGAUCAGAAGGCCUUUCUGGCAUGGCUUUCUCAGGGGAGGAAGGAAGGCUGUGCCUGAUGGUGGGCUUCUGCCCAGAGCAAGCAUCCCAGGAGAAGAAAGCAGAAGCGGCACAGCCUGUUCAGACCCAGCCUGAGAAGUCACACAGCGACACUGCUGUAUCAUCAAGUGUCAGUGGCUCAGUCGUGGUCAGUUUUUUGCAACCCCAUAGUCUGUAGCCCACCAGGCUCCUCUGUCCAUGGGAUUCUUCAGGAAAGAGUACUGGAAUGGGUAGCCAUUCCCUUCUCCAGGGGAUCUUCCCAACCCAGGAAUUGAACUUUGGUCUCCUGCAUUGAAGGCAGAUUCUUUAUCAUCUGAGCCAUAAGAUGACCAAUUUACCAUCUGACCAAUUUAAACUUAAUUGGUCAAAAUAGUCACCAGCGCAUCCUGGUUCAGAGGAGGGUGUGGAGGACUCUUGGUCUUGAUGACAGGAUGUUAGAGAAAGUUGAGGUCAAGUUGUAAAAGCGCCACUGGCACCGAACAAGAAUGCUCUGAUUUUUCUCAGUAUCUGUGAAAUAAAUGUCUUGAUAAUUUUUAUAAUUUUAUCAGCUUUCUGAGAUAAGAGGCUUCUUGACUAAUCUGGUUUGCUGAGUACUUAUGAAGUGAAGACUGAUUUGGAUGAUUCAGAAACAGACCUCUGCUCCUCGGGAUCUGACAGCUCACAGUGAAUUGGGACAAUAAUACUACACGAGACACAGCAGAGACCAACGCCCCAGGAGCCCCAGGAAACGGACUACGACCGAGGGAGAACACCCCAGAAUUCAUCUCAGGGAAAAUGUCUUUGAACCUACCUGAACUUGAGCUCUUCCAACGCCGGUGGCUGAAAGAAAACACACUUCAUGCUCUCCUCCUUGGUCUAAUUUCAGUGAUUAUUCCUUCCCAUCUUGCGCAGCUGCCAUCAGACUGAUUUUAGUUCCUGGGGAUUAAACAGUUUCUGAAGGUUGUUAUCACUCCCCUUCAGUGGAGCAUAUCUUCAAACACCUUCCUGGAUAAUUACCAUGGCCCAGUGAUUGGGCAAUCACCAGAGUGAUUUUAAACACACACACACACACACACACACAUUCUUCUCCAGCGUGUUCCUUUGUGUUUGUUUUGGUUUUGCAUUUUCAAAGCCCAGCGGUUCGUGAGAGACAGUAGAAGGACAAAAUAAAAAGACAUAUGGUAGUGCUUAAAUUAUUCCCCAAAAGGGAAAGUGUCCAACAUGAAAUUAUUCAGUCUUUCUACCAUUCUAGGGUGGGGAGGGAGGCAUUUCAACCAAGAAAAUCAUAGAAUAUCCACAAUACCCAGAGGAGGACUGAAUUAUAUUAUCAACUUCCAAAUACAGUCAGCAAUAUUUCACCAGAAAAGCUGCUUUGCAAAAAUUAAACCUCUAAUGUUUACACUGGGAAAUACCUCCAGUCCUUCUCUGCUGUCUUCCCUAGUCCCCCUGUAUACACACACACACACACACACACACAAAAUAUCUUUCUCUCCCCAGGAUUGUCUUUGUUUUGUUCACCUCUUUUAUCCUAACAUGUAGAUACGUGAUUCUGUAGUGAGACGCCCAAAUGUCUUCCAAAGGAAAGAUUACACAGAGUAGAAUUUUGUCUCUUAUUUUUCAAAAUGUUUUAAGAUCCUAUAAACUCAUCUGAUAUAAGCCUAUGGAAAAAGACAGCCAGAAGGAAAUCAAUGAAACAAUUCCGUGAGAUCUUUUUUCAUCCAAAUUGAUAACUAGGAAAGGAGGUGGAGGUUGGGUUUCAGCUUCCUGUUCUCUUACUCAGUUUAUGCGGCUUCAAUCCAUUCUACCCAGGCUUAGGCAUGUUACAUAAGGGUUUUAUGAAAUGAGAUAAAUCUUGAGAAAGACUUUUAAAUUUAAAUUUUAAAAACAAGUGAUACAUUCAUGAUUCAAUAUGAAACCACCAUAAUGUGUAUAUGUUACGAUGUCUGCCCCAUCUUCUUCAGGGCCUCCUCACCCCACCCCCACUCCUUAUAAAUAAGCAUAUUGUUAGUUUCUUGUGUAUCUCUCCAGUGUUUGUGCUAAUACAAACAAACACAAAUAUAUCCACAUUUUCCUCCCUUUUCCAUUGUUUUUGAGAAGGAAUUUAAGAGAGCUAGAACUGGCCUUGUUUGUGCCAGUGGUGGGAAUACACAAGGAGAGAGAUCAUAAUGGAAUAUCAGAAGCUCAUAAGAAGGGAAAUGAUUUCUCAGUUAUUUAGAUUCCCUGAAUCACUUUCUUUGACAUUGGUUCUUUGGUUAAAUCUAUUCUUUGGGCCUCUUAAUUCUUAAAACUUAUAAAAUCUUUAUUGUUUGCACAAGCAAAAUUCUAGAUAGUUUAUAUAUAAUAGCUCAUCUCUUGCUUAACAACAAAAACAUGUAAAUGGCACAUCCUUAAGAGAAGAACAUAAAGUGUAAUAGCAAGUGCAGAGCAGAGUCCCCUUACCCGGCGAUCUGACUCUGGACAUCCAGUGGGGAGGCUGACCAUGGCCUGAGGGAAGAACAAUCAUUCUGCUUUGGAAGCUUUUUUUGUUUUACAUGUACCCAUGAAUAGAGAAGGGGCUUCCCAGGUGGCGCUAGUGGUAAAGAACCCGCCUGCCAGUGCAGGACACUUAAGAAAUGCAGGGUCAUCCCCUGGGUUGGGAAAAUCCCCUGGAAAAAGGCAUGGCAAUCCAGUCAGUAUCCUUGUCUGGAGAAUUCCAUGGACAGAGGAGCCUAGCAAGCUACAGUCCUUAGGAUCGCAAAGAGUCGAAUACAACUGAAGCGACUUAGCACAUACGCGUGCAUGCAUAGAGAAAACAAGGGCCUUAGAUCGUCUUACUCUUCUGACACUUGGGAGUCUAAAGUAGAACCAUUUGGUAGAUUUUAGAACAACCACAGGAAUGUGUAUGUAACCAGAUAAUUGAUGCUGGGCAUUGUGUGGGACUGUGCCAGACUCCAAAAACAAUUAAAUCAUUUAAAACUCAUAUUUUGGAAGCGAACAGACAACAGUGACAACUACCUAUCUUGUGAGCAAGUUGAAACACAAUAAUGAUGUAAUUUGUUGCCAUUUUUCAGUGCGUAGUAUUGUAUUAUAUGCCAGAUGAAUAAAAAACUAAAUCGUGAAUGACAUAUAGAAUAAAUGAUUGCAUGGAUCAUAUUGUAACAAUUGCUUUACAUGGUUGAUGCUUUCCUAAAGAGUUAUAUGAUUGAUGAGUUUGGGGAAACCAAACAAAAUUUGAUUAAAUGUUUACAUAAAUCCUUAAGAUGACUCAUUUAUUUUGAUUUUUUAUUUAAAUGAAAUAUAUAAAAAGAUUUUAAGAUAUCUUAACAGGACAAAAAGUGUGCAGUAAAACAAAUCUCCUCCCCACCCCAUCCUAGUUCCCCAGAGCUAUUCCUUGGCCACACCCCCCAACAUACCACUUUCUUGUUUCCCCCAGGGAUAUUC
Molecule: long non-coding RNA, 4335 nt
Organism: Bos taurus (domestic cattle)
Lineage: Eukaryota; Metazoa; Chordata; Mammalia; Artiodactyla; Bovidae
Source: Ensembl